Molecule: ribosomal RNA, 525 nt
Filed under: uncultured bacterium
Lineage: Bacteria
Description: bacterial SSU rRNA
Rfam family: Bacterial small subunit ribosomal RNA
Source: RNAcentral
GACAAACGCUGGCGGCGUGCCUAAUACAUGCAAGUCGAACGCUUUUCUUUUCACCGGAGCUUGCUCCACCGAAAAGAAAAGAGUGGCGGACGGGUGAGUAACACGUGGGUAACCUGCCCUUCAGCGGGGGAUAACACUUGGAAACAGGUGCUAAUACCGCAUAAUUCUUCAUGCCGCAUGGCAAGAAGAUAAAAGAUGCUCCGGUAUCACUGAAGGAUGGACCCGCGCUGCAUUAGCUAGUUGGUGAGGUAACGGCUCACCAAGGCGAUGAUGCAUAGCCGACCUGAGAGGGUGAUCGGCCACACUGGGACUGAGACACGGCCCAGACUCCUACGGGAGGCAGCAGUAGGGAAUCUUCGGCAAUGGACGAAAGUCUGACCGAGCAACGCCGCGUGAGUGAAGAAGGUUUUCGGAUCGUAAAACUCUGUUGUUAGAGAAGAAUAAGCGUGAGAGUGACUGUUCACGCCUUGACGGUAUCUAACCAGAAAGCCACGGCUAACUACGUGCCAGCCGCCGCAGUAACAC